RNAcentral lists this unclassified non-coding RNA (349 nucleotides) under soil metagenome. Its description in RNAcentral is "partial contains small subunit ribosomal RNA, internal transcribed spacer 1, and 5.8S ribosomal RNA". The record is from RNAcentral.
UAACCGUAAGUGAACCUGCGGAAGGAUCAUUAGAUUGAAUUAUCAUUGUUGCUCGAGUUCUUGUUUAGAUCUUUUACAAUAAUGUGUAUCUUUAUUGAAGAUGUGCGCUUAAUUGCGCUGCUUCUUUAGAGUGUCGCAGUAGAAGUAGUCUUGCUUGAAUCUCAGUCAACGCUACACACAUUGGAGUUUUUUACUUUAAUUUAAUUCUUUCUGCUUUGAAUCGAAAGGUUCAAGGCAAAAAACAAACACAAACAAUUUUAUUUUAUUAUAAUUUUUUAAACUAAACCAAAAUUCCUAACGGAAAUUUUAAAAUAAUUUAAAACUUUCAACAACGGAUCUCUUGGUUCUC